This 252-nucleotide ribosomal RNA is filed under the name uncultured bacterium. RNAcentral's name for it is "partial 16S ribosomal RNA". It matches the Rfam family "Bacterial small subunit ribosomal RNA", at positions 524 to 776 of the family's 1533-position model. The record is from RNAcentral.
UACGUAGGUGGCGAGCGUUGUCCGGAUUUAUUGGGUUUAAAGGGUGCGUAGGCGGCUUUGUAAGUCAGUGGUGAAAUACUCCAGCUUAACUGGAGGGGUGCCAUUGAUACUGCGGAGCUUGAGUACAGAUGAGGUAGGCGGAAUUGACGGUGUAGCGGUGAAAUGCAUAGAUAUCGUCAAGAACACCGAUAGCGAAGGCAGCUUACUGGGCGUAACUGACGCUGAUGCACGAAAGUGUGGGGAUCAAACAGG